UGAGGAAUAUUGCGCAAUGGGGGCAACCCUGACGCAGCAACGCCGCGUGAGUGAGGAAGGUUUUCGGAUCGUAAAGCUCUGUCGAGUGGGAAGAAAUGUAUCAUGGCUACUAUCCAUGAUACUUGACGGUACCGCUAAAGGAAGCACCGGCUAACUCCGUGCCAGCAGCCGCGGUCAUACGGGGGGUGCAAGCGUUGUUCGGAAUUAUUGGGCGUAAAGAGCGUGUAGGCGGCUGAAUAAGUCAGAUGUGAAAUCCCGGGGCUUAACUCAGGAAGUGCAUUUGAAACUAUUCGGCUAGAGUAGGGGAGAGGAAAGUGGAAUUCCUGGUGUAGAGGUGAAAUUCGUAGAUAUCAGGAGGAACACCGGUGGCGAAGGCGACUUUCUGGCCCUAUACUGACGCUGAGACGCGAGAGCGUGGGUAGCAAACA
Molecule: ribosomal RNA, 428 nt
Filed under: uncultured prokaryote
Description: bacterial SSU rRNA
Rfam family: Bacterial small subunit ribosomal RNA
Source: RNAcentral